Molecule: transfer RNA, 23 nt
Filed under: Strigilodelima conspersa
Lineage: Eukaryota; Metazoa; Mollusca; Gastropoda; Stylommatophora; Clausiliidae
Description: partial tRNA-Met
Source: RNAcentral
AAUGGAUAAAACUCCUCUUAAGA